This 66-nucleotide transfer RNA is filed under the name Bavayia nubila. RNAcentral's name for it is "tRNA-Cys". Lineage: Eukaryota; Metazoa; Chordata; Lepidosauria; Squamata; Diplodactylidae. The record is from RNAcentral.
AGCCCCGUAGUGAGUAACACGUCAAAUUGCAAAUUUGAAAGAGUUCCCUUUUUGGUUCCGGGGCUU